GACGAACGCUGGCGGUGUGCUUAACACAUGCAAGUCGAACGGAAAGGCCCUGCUUUUGUGGGGUGCUCGAGUGGCGAACGGGUGAGUAACACGUGAGUAACCUGCCCUUGACUUUGGGGAUAACUUCAGGAAAACUGGGGCUAAUACCGGAUAGGAGCUCCUGCUGCAUGGUGGGGGUUGGAAAGUUUCGGCGGUUGGGGAUGGACUCGCGGCUUAUCAGCUUGUUGGUGGGGUAGUGGCUUACCAAGGCUUUGACGGGUAGCCGGCCUGAGAGGGUGACCGGCCACAUUGGGACUGAGAUACGGCCCAGACUCCUACGGGAGGCAGCAGUGGGGAAUAUUGCACAAUGGGCGGAAGCCUGAUGCAGCAACGCCGCGUGCGGGAUGACGGCCUUCGGGUUGUAAACCGCUUUCGCCUGUGACGAAGCGUGAGUGACGGUAAUGGGUAAAGAAGCACCGGCUAACUACGUG
Molecule: ribosomal RNA, 470 nt
Filed under: uncultured bacterium
Lineage: Bacteria
Description: bacterial SSU rRNA
Rfam family: Bacterial small subunit ribosomal RNA
Source: RNAcentral